RNAcentral lists this ribosomal RNA (497 nucleotides) under uncultured bacterium. RNAcentral's name for it is "partial 16S ribosomal RNA". It matches the Rfam family "Bacterial small subunit ribosomal RNA", at positions 28 to 507 of the family's 1533-position model. The record is from RNAcentral.
GAUGAACGCUGGCGGCGUGCCUAAUACAUGCAAGUCGAGCGAACGGACGAGAAACUUUCUUCUCUGAUGUUAGCGGCGGACGGGUGAGUAACACGUGGAUAACCUACCUAUAAGACUGGGAUAACUUCGGGAAACCGGAGCUAAUACCGGCUAAUAUUUUGAACCGCAUGGUUCAAAAGUGAAAGACGGUCUUGCUGUCACUUAUAGAUGGAUCCGCGCUGCAUUAGCUAGUUGGUAAGGUAACGGCUUACCAAGGCAACGAUGCAUAGCCGACCUGAGAGGGUGAUCGGCCACACUGGAACUGAGACACGGUCCAGACUCCUACGGGAGGCAGCAGUAGGGAAUCUUCCGCAAUGGGCGAAAGCCUGACGGAGCAACGCCGCGUGAGUGAUGAAGGUCUUCGGAUCGUAAAACUCUGUUAUUAGGGAAGAACAUAUGUGUAAGUAACUGUGCACAUCUUGACGGUACCUAAUCAGAAAGCCACGGCUAACUACGUG